This 399-nucleotide ribosomal RNA is filed under the name uncultured soil bacterium. RNAcentral describes it as "bacterial SSU rRNA". It matches the Rfam family "Bacterial small subunit ribosomal RNA", at positions 26 to 412 of the family's 1533-position model. The record is from RNAcentral.
AGGACGAACGCUGGCGGCGUGCUUAACACAUGCAAGUCGAACGGUGAAGGAGAGCUUGCUCUCCGGAUCAGUGGCGAACGGGUGAGUAACACGUGAGUAACCUGCCCUUGACUCUGGGAUAAGCGUUGGAAACGACGUCUAAUACCGGAUACGAGCUUCAGCCGCAUGGCUAGGAGCUGGAAGGAAUUUCGGUCAAGGAUGGACUCGCGGCCUAUCAGCUAGUUGGUGAGGUAAUGGCUCACCGAAGGCGACGACGGGUAGCCGGCCUGAGGAGGGUGACCGGCACGACGUGGGACUGAGACACGGCCCAGACCUACCGUACGGGAGCAGCAGGUACGGGAAUAUGCACGAAGUGGCGACAAGCCUGAUGCACGGCAACGCCGGCGGUAGGGGGACGAA